This 906-nucleotide long non-coding RNA is filed under the name Homo sapiens (human). RNAcentral's name for it is "hepatocellular carcinoma up-regulated long non- coding RNA". Lineage: Eukaryota; Metazoa; Chordata; Mammalia; Primates; Hominidae. The record is from RNAcentral.
AGAUGAGCUGACAGACCCUGGCUGAGCAGGAAGUGGCAGGGUCAGGAAAAGCUAGGCCACAAGUUUUCCCUUGAGAGCCUUAGAGUCUAGCCCUGUCGCCCAGGCUGGAGUGCCAUGGUUUGAACUCUACUCACCGCAACCUCCACCUCCCAGGUUCAAAUGAUUCUCCUGCCUCAGCCUCCUGAAUAUCUGGGAUUACAGGUGUCUUUGUGAAGCUUCCUAUCUUUGCUUUUCAACUAAGAUGAAACAGCAUUUAAAAGAAAAUGCCAUGUGAGAUGAGAUCAGGAGAAUGGAUUCUUUCUUUCAUCUGAAUAGAGAGCUGCUGUUCGAGAUUCUAACUCAAAUAGCUCAAAGGACACCUUCUCCGGGAAACCUUCCCUGACUUCCGACGCUGUUUCCUGUUGGGCAUCUAUGUAAAUCAUUUGGAGUUUUUGCCUUUCCUCUUAGAAGAAAAAUAUGAAUGAUUUGACUGAACAGGCCUAUAGCCAAACCCAAGAUGAUCUUUCCAAGCGUGAACUCCAUCUUCAAACUUCUAGUGAGUCUGAGGCCGCAACUGGAAAAAUUUAGAAAUAAUUUCUAAUUCUUGAAAUCUUUGAAAUGUCAAAACAUUAAAACUUUAAGUUUUUGUAUCUUGUUUAAUGUUUAACAAUUUUCUGAAACUUUGGAAAUUAUGUAGGUAUUCUAUUUUGUUAGUUUGGCUUAGCAUAUAUAAAUAGAGCUAUGUCUACAUAUUAAUAGUAGUCUUGUUUUACCUUACCUUUGUUUUUUUGUUGUUGUUGUAUGCCAUCUAGAUCUUAAACCUUAAAGAAGAAACUAUGGCAAUGUCUCUUCCACCACUCUUGACUAGCAUGAUGUGUUGCCAAAAGACUUCAGAUCAUAAGUGCGAAAUAAAAAAUCAAAAAUUGA